UUUAUGGAGAGUUUGAUCCUGGCUCAGGACGAACGCUGGCGGCGUGCCUAAUACAUGCAAGUCGAGCGGACUUAAAAGGAGCUUGCUCCUUUUAAGUUAGCGGCGGACGGGUGAGUAACACGUGGGCAACCUGCCCUAUAGUUUGGGAUAACUCCGGGAAACCGGGGCUAAUACCGAAUAAUACAUUUUAACUCCUGUUAGAAUGUUGAAAGAUGGUUUACGCUAUCGCUAUAGGAUGGGCCCGCGGCGCAUUAGCUAGUAGGUGAGGUAACGGCUCACCUAGGCGACGAUGCGUAGCCGACCUGAGAGGGUGAUCGGCCACACUGGGACUGAGACACGGCCCAGACUCCUACGGGAGGCAGCAGUAGGGAAUCUUCCACAAUGGACGAAAGUCUGAUGGAGCAACGCCGCGUGAGUGAAGAAGGUUUUCGGAUCGUAAAACUCUGUUGUAAGGGAAGAACAAGUGCAGUAGUAACUGGCUGCACCUUGACGGUACCUUAUUAGAAAGCCACGGCUAACUACGUGCCAGCAGCCGCGGUAAUACGUAGGUGGCAAGCGUUGUCCGGAUUUAUUGGGCGUAAAGCGCGCGCAGGCGGUUUCUUAAGUCUGAUGUGAAAGCCCUCGGCUUAACCGAGGAGGGUCAUUGGAAACUGGGAGACUUGAGUGCAGAAGAGGAAAGUGGAAUUCCAAGUGUAGCGGUGAAAUGCGUAGAGAUUUGGAGGAACACCAGUGG
RNAcentral lists this ribosomal RNA (733 nucleotides) under Butyricicoccus sp. 1XD8-22. RNAcentral's name for it is "bacterial SSU rRNA". It matches the Rfam family "Bacterial small subunit ribosomal RNA", at positions 1 to 715 of the family's 1533-position model. Lineage: Bacteria; Bacillati; Bacillota; Clostridia; Eubacteriales; Butyricicoccaceae. The record is from RNAcentral.